RNAcentral lists this ribosomal RNA (484 nucleotides) under uncultured bacterium. Its description in RNAcentral is "partial 16S ribosomal RNA". It matches the Rfam family "Bacterial small subunit ribosomal RNA", at positions 31 to 523 of the family's 1533-position model. The record is from RNAcentral.
AGGGAACGCUGGCGGCGUGCUUAACACAUGCAAGUCGAACGAGAACGGGUUAUAGCUUGCUAUAAUUGUCAGCUAAGUGGCGUAUGGGUGAGUAAUGUAUAGGUAAUAUGCCUCUUACUAAGGGGUAACAAAUGGAAACGUUUGCUAAUACCUUAUACUCCUUAUUAACAUAAGUUAAUAAGGGACAGAUUUAUUGGUAAGAGAUUAGCCUGUAUUGUAUCAGUUAGUUGGUGGGGUAAUGGCUUACCAAGACUAUGACACAUAACUGGUUUGAGAGGAUGAUCAGUCACACUGGAACUGAGACACGGUCCAGACUCCUACGGGGGGCAGCAGUGGGGAAUAUUGCACAAUGGACGAAAGUCUGAUGCAGCAACGCCGCGUGGAGGAUGACACAUUUCGGUGCGUAAACUCCUUUUAUAUGAGAAGAUAAUGACGGUAUUAUAUGAAUAAGCACCGGCUAACUCCGUGCCAGCCGCCGCCGUAA